UCCGGUUUGUCACCGGCGGUCCCCUUAGAGUUCCCAACUUAAUGCUGGCAACUAAGGGCAAGGGUUGCGCUCGUUGCGGGACUUAACCCAACAUCUCACGACACGAGCUGACGACAGCCAUGCAGCACCUGUGCUCCUCCCACCCGAAGUGAAGGGAUCCAUCUCUGGGUCCCAUAGAGGGCAUGUCAAGGCCUGGUAAGGUUCUUCGCGUUGCCUCGAAUUGAACCACAUGUUCCACCGCUUGUGCGGGUCCCCGUCAAUUCCUUUAAGUUUCAACCUUGCGGCCGUACUCCCCAGGCGGGAUGCUUAACGCGUUAGCUACGCCACCGAGAGGUAACCUCCCGACGGCUAGCAUCCAUCGUUUAGGGCAUGGACUAC
RNAcentral lists this unclassified non-coding RNA (378 nucleotides) under uncultured Pseudomonadota bacterium. Its description in RNAcentral is "uncultured proteobacterium contains 16S-23S intergenic spacer region". Lineage: Bacteria; Pseudomonadati; Pseudomonadota. The record is from RNAcentral.